CCUACGGGUGGCAGCAGUGAGGAAUAUUGGUCAAUGGACGAGAGUCUGAACCAGCCAAGUAGCGUGAAGGAUGACUGCCCUAUGGGUUGUAAACUUCUUUUAUAUGGGAAUAAAAUGUUCCACGUGUGGGCUUUUGUAUGUACCAUAUGAAUAAGGAUCGGCUAACUCCGUGCCAGCAGCCGCGGUAAUACGGAGGAUCCGAGCGUUAUCCGGAUUUAUUGGGUUUAAAGGGAGCGUAGGUGGAUUGUUAAGUCAGUUGUGAAAGUUUGCGGCUCAACCGUAAAAUUGCAGUUGAAACUGGCAGUCUUGAGUACAGUAGAGGUAGGCGGAAUGCGUGGUGUAGCGGUGAAAUGCUUAGAUAUCACGAAGAACUCCGAUUGCGAAGGCAGCUCACUGGACUGAAACUGACACUGAGGCUCGAAAGUGUGGGUAUCAAACAGGAUUAGAUACCCCGGUAGUC
This 460-nucleotide ribosomal RNA is filed under the name uncultured bacterium. RNAcentral describes it as "partial 16S ribosomal RNA". It matches the Rfam family "Bacterial small subunit ribosomal RNA", at positions 338 to 795 of the family's 1533-position model. The record is from RNAcentral.